RNAcentral lists this ribosomal RNA (449 nucleotides) under uncultured bacterium. RNAcentral's name for it is "bacterial SSU rRNA". It matches the Rfam family "Bacterial small subunit ribosomal RNA", at positions 28 to 524 of the family's 1533-position model. The record is from RNAcentral.
GACGAACGCUGGCGGCAGGCUUAACACAUGCAAGUCGAACGAACUCUUCGGAGUGAGUGGCAGACGGGUGCGUAACACGUGGGAACCUACCUUAAGGUACGGGACAACACCGAGAAAUUGGUGCUAAUACCGUAUGUGCCCUUCGGGGGAAAGAUUUAUCGCCUUAAGAUGGGCCCGCGGCAGAUUAGAUUGUUGGUGAGGUAACGGCUCACCAAGUCGACGAUCUGUAGCUGGUCUGAGAGGAUGAUCAGCCACACUGGAACUGAGACACGGUCCAGACUCCUACGGGAGCAGCAGUGGGGAAAAAUGGGGCAAUGGCGAAAGCCUGACCCAGCCAUGCCGCGUGAGUGAUGAAGGCCUUAGGGUUGUAAAACUCUUUCGCCGGUGAAGAUAAUGACGGUAACCGGUAAAGAAGCCCCGGCUAAUUUCGUGCCAGCAGCCGCGGUAAU